AACUAACGCUAUUAUUGAUACAGUUUCUGUACUAUAUUGGUAUGAGAAGCUUCCAGAAUAAUAAUUCGGAUUAUUAUUCGGGAUAAUUUUGGAAUAAAAC
RNAcentral lists this unclassified non-coding RNA (100 nucleotides) under Blechomonas pulexsimulantis. Its description in RNAcentral is "trans-spliced leader sequence SL". Lineage: Eukaryota; Euglenozoa; Kinetoplastea; Trypanosomatida; Trypanosomatidae. The record is from RNAcentral.